This 1729-nucleotide long non-coding RNA is filed under the name Homo sapiens (human). RNAcentral's name for it is "HSALNT0369447". The record is from RNAcentral. Lineage: Eukaryota; Metazoa; Chordata; Mammalia; Primates; Hominidae.
GUUAUCAUUCUUGAAUGGCAAAAUUUGGAAAUAGACAUGCACACAUGGAGAGCAUUAUGUGACUAUGAAGGCAGGGAUCGUGGCGAUGUUCCUACCCGCCAAAGAACAUCAAAAAUUGCCAGCAAAUCACCAGAAGUCAGGGGGCGAAGCGAAUAGCAGAUUCUUUUCAGUAGCAACUGACUCUGCUAACACCUUGGUCUGGAACUUCUAGUGUGUAAAAGUGUGAGACAACACAUUUCUGUUGUUUAAGACACACAAUCUGUGGUACUUUGAUACAGCAGCCCUGACAAACUAAUACAUGGGGUGUCUCAUUGUAGUUUUAAUCAGUAACACCCAUUAUGAACUGAAAACGUCUGCUACUUUUAAGAUCCAACUUGAAUGCUUCCUGAUUAAAUAUAUACAGGAGUGAUUUCAGAGGAAUUUAAGUUUUGGAUCAUUCUUUUGAGAAAGAAAGAAAAGUACCCUUUUAAAAGAGGUGGCUCUUGAACAACACAGGUUUGAACUGCAUCAUUCCACUUAUACACAGACUUUCUUCUGCCACUGCCACUCCUGAGACAACAUGACCAAUCUCUCCCCUUCCUCCUCCUCAGCGUACUUUCAACAUAAAGACGACGAGGAUAAAGGCAUUUAUGAUGAACUACUUCCACAUAAUGAAUAAUUGAACAAAGGAGAGAAUUGUGAGAGUGAGAAAAAGUGAGACAAAGAAGAAAAACUAUAAAUCAGCAAAAUACAGUGCCAAGAGCUCUGGACCACAAAUCAGAAGACCUGAGCCCUAAUUCCUUUCCAGUCAUUGGAUUUGUUCGUCGCUUGCCAAAAUAGCAGCGAACUCUCUGUCAAACUGCAACUCAUUUUAUCGGAGCAAAAACUGAACAAAGAACUGCUAUCAUUUCUGAGAAUUGAAAAGUACUUUCACAGUUUGUGCAUUACCAAUUCCACCUUUGCAAAUACCACUUCCCAGAGCUGAUGAGAACACCGAAGAACAGAGGCCAGUUGGAGUCAUGGAACCGUCGAGGUGCAGAAUCAGAAUUUGAACCCCAAUAACCUGUCCACAGAGUCAGCUCUCUUAACCUCCAUGCCAUCUCUUAGCCAAUUAACAUUUCUGAAAUUUUUCAUAACUGAAAAAUGAGGAUAAUAGCACCUUCCUUAUUGUCAGAGGCAGUGCAGCUUGUGUUACAACUCAAAAGAGUAAUACUCUGAAAAAAGAAAAAAAAAGAUGGCGCUGAAAAUAAACAUGUUCAGCAGCCAUUGUGAUUCAACUUACCCAGAUGUGCUUUUCAUGAGAUGGAGAAGGACGGAUGGAAAAGAAAAGCACACAAAUGUUAAUGGAUACAGUUCAAUCCAAAGAAAACCAUGGAAUAAAACAAGAGCAUUAUUUAAGAUGUGAGAAAGCUCAGAAGUGUCAAGGCUAUGUUAAUAGUAAGAAAGAUUCUGUCAAGAAUAAAUAUUCUUCAGUGAAAGACCAUUGUGAGUAAUUGGCAAGUAAGUUUUAAUUAACAUAAAAAAAUAGGUUAUGUUACCAUCUAAUGAAUGAGAUCAGAUCCAAUUAUUGACAUUAUGUUUUCCUUGCCAACAUCAGCAUAUAUUCAGUCAGGAGAAGAAGAAAUGACCAGCAAACAUAUGUCUUAUAUUUCAAAAUGAGAGCCUUCAACUUUUCAGUUUCCUCACCUUGAUCUUCCAGAUCUCCUACAAUUGAAUGAACCUUCUUCUGUUAUAAACUAGUCAAUUCUGG